Molecule: transfer RNA, 121 nt
Filed under: Paeniglutamicibacter cryotolerans
Lineage: Bacteria; Bacillati; Actinomycetota; Actinomycetes; Micrococcales; Micrococcaceae
Description: tRNA-OTHER
Source: RNAcentral
AGCCGGCCCAGCUGGACCGGGGCACGGUGCUGGCCCCGGCGUUCCAUAUGGAUGAGCACGUCAAGGGCGCUGGUUGCCUGCAGCGCCGUGGCUGCUGGUUCGAGUCCGGCGAGCGCUCCCA